GUAAAAGUCGUAACAAGGUUUCCGUAGGUGAACCUGCGGAAGGAUCAUUACCGAGUGAGGGCCCUCUGGGUCCAACCUCCCACCCGUGUUUAUCGUACCUUGUUGCUUCGGCGGGCCCGCCUCACGGCCGCCGGGGGGCAUCCGCCCCCGGGCCCGCGCCCGCCGAAGACACACAAACGAACUCUUGUCUGAAGAUUGCAGUCUGAGUACUUGACUAAAUCAGUUAAAACUUUCAACAACGGAUCUCUUGGUUCCGGCAUCGAUGAAGAACGCAGCGAAAUGCGAUAAGUAAUGUGAAUUGCAGAAUUCAGUGAAUCAUCGAGUCUUUGAACGCACAUUGCGCCCCCUGGUAUUCCGGGGGGCAUGCCUGUCCGAGCGUCAUUGCUGCCCUCAAGCACGGCUUGUGUGUUGGGCUCUCGCCCCCCGCUUCCGGGGGGCGGGCCCGAAAGGCAGCGGCGGCACCGCGUCCGGUCCUCGAGCGUAUGGGGCUUCGUCACCCGCUCUGUAGGCCCGGCCGGCGCCCGCCGGCGAACACCAUCAAUCUUAACCAGGUUGACCUCGGAUCAGGUAGGGAUACCCGCUGAACUUAAGCAUAUCAAA
Molecule: small RNA, 600 nt
Filed under: Penicillium oxalicum
Lineage: Eukaryota; Fungi; Ascomycota; Eurotiomycetes; Eurotiales; Aspergillaceae
Description: eukaryotic LSU rRNA
Rfam family: 5.8S ribosomal RNA (bases 228-381)
Source: RNAcentral